This 1002-nucleotide ribosomal RNA is filed under the name Triticum aestivum (bread wheat). RNAcentral's name for it is "partial small subunit ribosomal RNA". Lineage: Eukaryota; Viridiplantae; Streptophyta; Magnoliopsida; Poales; Poaceae. The record is from RNAcentral.
AUGGCGCUGUUCCGCAAGUUCUUCUUCAAGAAGCCUCCCGACGGGGUGCUCCUCAUCACGGAUAACAUCUACGUUUUCGAUCAUUGCUUCUCCUUGAAUACACCGGAAGAGGACCAGUUCGAGGCACACACCAGAGGCAUCGCAGCACAUCUUCUAGAAGACUUCCAUGAUCACUCAUUCAUGGUCACGAACUUCGGGACUCGGGCAGAGGAAAGCCGCUUAUACCACAUUUUAUCCGAGUAUGGCAUGACUGUUUUGGACUACCCGGGCCACUACGAGGGGUGUCCACUUCUCACCAUCGAAAUGGUCCACUGCAUCCUGAAGUCCAGCGAAAGCUGGCUCUCUCUGGGCCAGCACAACUUACUCAUAAUGCACUGCGAGCAAGGGUGCUGGCCUAUCCUGGCUUUCAUGCUAGCCGCUCUCUUGUUGUACCUGGGCCAGUAUUCAGAUGAGCAGAAAACACUGGAUAUGCUCUACAAACAAUCAUCUUCCGAGUUCUUGGAGAUGUUCUCACCUCUAAAUCCCAUGCCUUCUCAAAUUAGAUACUUGCGGUAUAUUUCGAUGAGGAAUGUCAUGCCUGAGUGGCCUCCCGCUGAUAGAGCCCUCACACUGGAUUGUCUGACUUUGAGGAUGCUUCCUGAUUUUCAAAGUCAAGGUGGUUUUUGUCCGAUAUUCAGGAUAUAUGGUCCAGAUCCACUCAUGCCCCAUGAUCAGACUCCCAAAGUUCUUUUUUCAACCCCCAAAACAAGUAAUCUUGUCCGUUUUAAUUCACAGGCAGAUGAACGGGUGAACAUAAACCUUCAAUGUCAUGUCCAAGGUGACGUUGUCAUAGAGUGUAGCAACUUGUAUGAUGAUCUAGAUCGCGAGGAGAUGGUAUUCCGGGUCAUGUUCAACACCGCUUUCAUCAGGUCAAACAUCUUGAUGCUCAGCCGUGAUGAAAUAGACAUGCUAUGGAAUGCAAAAGAUCAAUUCCCUAAAGAUUUUCGAGCUGAGAGCCUUUGA